UAACCUACGGGGGGCAGCAGUGAGGAAUAUUGGUCAAUGGGCGCAAGCCUGAACCAGCCAAGUCGCGUGAGGGAUGACGGUCCUAUGGAUUGUAAACCUCUUUCGUCGGGGAGCAAGGCCCGCCACGUGUGGCGGGAAGGAGAGGACCCGAAGAAAAAGCAUCGGCUAACUCCGUGCCAGCAGCCGCGGUAAUUCGGAGGAUGCGAGCGUUAUCCGGAUUUAUUGGGUUUAAAGGGUGCGUAGGCGGAAGGUUAAGUCAGCGGUCAAAUGUCGGGGGUCAACACCGGCCUGCCGACGAAACUGGG
RNAcentral lists this ribosomal RNA (305 nucleotides) under uncultured bacterium. Its description in RNAcentral is "bacterial SSU rRNA". It matches the Rfam family "Bacterial small subunit ribosomal RNA", at positions 333 to 637 of the family's 1533-position model. The record is from RNAcentral.